AACGAACGCUGGCGGCAGGCCUAACACAUGCAAGUCGAGCGGACCCUUCGGGGUUAGCGGCGGACGGGUGAGUAACGCGUGGGAAUAUGCCCUUCUCUACGGAAUAGUCCUGGGAAACUGGGGGUAAUACCGUAUACGCCCUUUGGGGGAAAGAUUUAUCGGGGAAGGAUUAGCCCGCGUUGGAUUAGGUAGUUGGUGGGGUAAUGGCCUACCAAGCCGACGAUCCAUAGCUGGUUUGAGAGGAUGAUCAGCCACACUGGGACUGAGACACGGCCCAGACCCACACGGGAGGGGGGAGGGGGGAACUUUGAAAAGGGGGGGCAGCCCUGACAGCCCCGGGCCGGGAGAAGGAUGAGGGCUUGGGGGUUGAAAAGUCUUUGGAGCUGGGAAGAAAAGGAGGGGACCAAAAAAAAAAGCCCCGGCUAACCCCGUG
RNAcentral lists this ribosomal RNA (433 nucleotides) under uncultured bacterium. RNAcentral describes it as "partial 16S ribosomal RNA". It matches the Rfam family "Bacterial small subunit ribosomal RNA", at positions 29 to 507 of the family's 1533-position model. The record is from RNAcentral.